This 1194-nucleotide ribosomal RNA is filed under the name Streptomyces yunnanensis. RNAcentral describes it as "bacterial SSU rRNA". It matches the Rfam family "Bacterial small subunit ribosomal RNA", at positions 265 to 1470 of the family's 1533-position model. The record is from RNAcentral. Lineage: Bacteria; Bacillati; Actinomycetota; Actinomycetes; Kitasatosporales; Streptomycetaceae.
UCACCCAGGCGACGACCGGUAGCCGGCCUGAGAGGGGCGACACACACCUGGGACUGAAGACACGACCAGACUCUACGGAGGCAGCAGUGGGGAAUAUUGCACAUGGGCGAAGCUGAUGCAGCGACGCCGCGUGAGGGAUGACGGCUUUCGGGUGUAAACCUCUUUCAGCAGGGAAGAAGCGAGAGUGACGGUACUGCAGAAGAAGCGCCGGGCUAACUACGUGCCAGCAGCCGCGGUAAUACGUAGGGCGCGAGCGUUGUCCGGAAUUAUUGGGCGUAAAGAGCUCGUAGGCGGCUUGUCACGUCGGAUGUGAAAGCCCGGGGCUUAACCCCGGGUCUGCAUUCGAUACGGGCAGGCUAGAGUUCGGUAGGGGAGAUCGGAAUUCCUGGUGUAGCGGUGAAAUGCGCAGAUAUCAGGAGGAACACCGGUGGCGAAGGCGGAUCUCUGGGCCGAUACUGACGCUGAGGAGCGAAAGCGUGGGGAGCGAACAGGAUUAGAUACCCUGGUAGUCCACGCCGUAAACGUUGGGAACUAGGUGUGGGCGACAUUCCACGUCGUCCGUGCCGCAGCUAACGCAUUAAGUUCCCCGCCUGGGGAGUACGGCCGCAAGGCUAAAACUCAAAGGAAUUGACGGGGGCCCGCACAAGCAGCGGAGCAUGUGGCUUAAUUCGACGCAACGCGAAGAACCUUACCAAGGCUUGACAUACACCGGAAAACCGUGGAGACACGGUCCCCCUUGUGGUCGGUGUACAGGUGGUGCAUGGCUGUCGUCAGCUCGUGUCGUGAGAUGUUGGGUUAAGUCCCGCAACGAGCGCAACCCUUGUUCUGUGUUGCCAGCAUGCCUUUCGGGGUGAUGGGGACUCACAGGAGACUGCCGGGGUCAACUCGGAGGAAGGUGGGGACGACGUCAAGUCAUCAUGCCCCUUAUGUCUUGGGCUGCACACGUGCUACAAUGGCCGGUACAAUGAGCUGCGAUACCGCGAGGUGGAGCGAAUCUCAAAAAGCCGGUCUCAGUUCGGAUUGGGGUCUGCAACUCGACCCCAUGAAGUCGGAGUUGCUAGUAAUCGCAGAUCAGCAUUGCUGCGGUGAAUACGUUCCCGGGCCUUGUACACACCGCCCGUCACGUCACGAAAGUCGGUAACACCCGAAGCCGGUGGCCCAACCCCUUGUGGGAGGAAUCGUCGAAGGUGACUG